This is a non-coding RNA of Xyrichtys novacula (pearly razorfish), 2241 nucleotides long. Lineage: Eukaryota; Metazoa; Chordata; Actinopteri; Labriformes; Labridae. The record is from the annotation of a GenBank genome assembly.
AAGUGUAAGUGAAAGCAACACGCACUGGCAGGAAGAACAGCAAACGCCGAUGAAGGAAAAGGGUCUUUGCAGUGAUGGGCGUUACCAGAGAGGGCGAUGGCCAGAGGACACAAAUGGGACGGGGAGGCAGCAUGUUGGGGGGUGGGGGGGUGGGGGGGGGGGGGGGACGCGACACGGCUCGGGCCCGCCAGUGCCCCAACGGGGUCCUAGUUUCUUCUUUUUCCUCCCCUUUGAACUGGAAAAUGGCCCACUUCCCACUGGCGAAAACUCAUGAAAUUUGGCAGGACGACCGGGCCUGGUGAAAAAUUUGAUAUUCUGAAGUCGCCCAAACAAUAAAAUGCAAAAUGGCUCCAUAGCGCCCCCUAAGAUGAAAAUUCAAACUAUUGACUGUCUCGGCUGUACGCUUUGUCAUAUUGACACAAAAAUUGACACACAUAUGUAUCUCAAUAAGAUCUACAAAAAAGUCAGUGCGGGCGUAUCUGUCAAAUUUACGGUUAACGGGUUAUUUCGCAUUUUUUGCCGAUCCACACACAUCGGAAUUUCGCUAACUCCUCUGAAGACUUUCCUUCCAUCGGCACAACAUUUGCUCAGGUCAAUCUACACCCCAUGGCCAUUAAAAGUUAUUCAAAUCAUGACGCUGCACCCCACGGUUUAGGUUCUAGGGGGCGCCAAAGAUAACCCUAAAAUCCACAUAUUUAAAAGUCUUAUAACUUUUUAUUUUUUUCCUCACUGGCCUCCAAGUUUACUAGGAUGAUGCAAUGUCCAGCCAUCAACACAUUUGUGAAGGAAUUUUGACUCCCCAAAAGAGCGCCCCCCCAUGGCAGGAGAAAAAAGUCCAUUUUUUCUUGUCCCCUAAGGUGAAAAUUCACACUAUUGACUGUCACGCCUGUACGCUUUGUCAUAUUGACACAAAAAUUGACACACAUGUGUAUCUCAAUAAGAUCUACGAAAAAGUCAUACGCGCGUAUCUGUCAAAUGUACGGUUAAAGGGUCAUUUCGCAUUUUUUGCCGAUCCGCACACAUUGGAAUUUCGCUAACUCCUCCGAAGGCUUUCGUUCCACCGGCACCACAUUUGCUCAGGCCAAUCUACACCCCAUGGCCAUUAAAAGUUAUUCAAAUCAUGAUGCUGCACCCCACGGUUUAGGUUCUAGGGGGCGCCAAAUAUAACCCUAAAAUCCACAUAUUUAAAAGUCUUAUAACUUUUUAUUUUUGUCCUCACUGGCCUCCAAGUUCUCUAGGAUGAUGCAAUGUCCAGCCAUCAACACAUUUGUGAAGGAAUUUUUACUCCCCAAAAGAGCGCCCCCCCAUGGCAGGAGAAAAAAGUCCAUUUUUUCUUGUCCCCUAAUUUGAAAAUACACAUUGUUGAGUGUCACGCCUGUACGCUUUGUCAUAUUGACACAAAAUUUGACACACACAUGUAUCUCAAUAAGAUCUACGAAAAAGUCAAUGCGCGCGUAUCUGUCAAAUGUACGGUUAAAGGGUUAUUCCGCAUUUUUUCUGAUCCGCACACAUUGGAAUUUCGCUAACUCCUCCUAAGGCUUUCGUUCCACCGGCACCACAUUUGCUCAGGCCAAUCUACACCCCAUGGCCAUUAAAAGUUAUUCAAAUCAUGACGCUGCACCCCACGGUUUAGGUUCUAGGGGGCGCCAAAGAUAACCCUAAAAUCCACAUAUUUCAAAGUCUUAUAACUUUUUAUUUUUGCCCUCACUGGCCUCCAAGUUUUCUAGGAUGAUGCAAUGUCCAGCCAUCAACGCAUUUGUGAAGGAAUUUUUACUCCCCAAAAGAGCGCCCCCCCCCCCAUGGCAGGAGAAAAAAGUCAAUUUUUUCUUGUCCCGAAAGGUGAAAAUUCACAUUGUUGAGUGUGACACCUGUACGCUUUGUCAUAUUGACACAAAAUUUGACAAUCACGUGUAUCUCAAUAAGAUCUACGAAAAAGUCAAUGGGUGCGUAUCUGUCAAAUAUACGGUUAGAGGGCUAUUUUGCAUUUUUUGCCGAUUCGCACACAUUGGAAUGUGGCUAACUCCUCCUAAGGCUUUCGUCCCACUGAAACCAAAUUUGCUCAGGCCGAUCUACACCCCAUGGCCAUUAAAAGUUAUUCAAAUCAUGAUGCUGCACCCCACGGUUUACGUUCUAGGGGGCGCCAAAGAUGACCAAAAAAUCCACAUUCUUAAAAGAAUCCACAUUCUCCCCCCCCAUGGCACGAGAAAAAGUCAAGUUUUUCCUGCCCAUCGCUCAAUGGCU